This 946-nucleotide long non-coding RNA is filed under the name Equus caballus (horse). Its description in RNAcentral is "lncRNA (ENSECAG00000033609.3)". The record is from RNAcentral. Lineage: Eukaryota; Metazoa; Chordata; Mammalia; Perissodactyla; Equidae.
CGAUUAGACUGGAGAGGCUGACAGAUAGGAUAAUGGAAAGUGGGUGGUGGGAGAAAAAGUUGGAAAGUUGAUUUGGGGCAAGAUGAAGAAACUUGAAUGCCACGUCAAAAACCUUUAACAUAAUCUCCUAGUAACGGGGCGCUAACAGCGGUCUUCCAGCUGAAGGGCACCGUCCUCGGAUCUGUAUUUGGAAAGACAACUCUGGUCGCAGUGUGAGAUGUGGAGGAGAGGUGGGGAAAACUGAGAGGGAGGCUUCUGAAAACGGCUAGGCAGGACAUCUGAGCGAGGGCAAUAAGAGGAGCAGGGUUAAGAAGAAGGGAUGGAUUCCGGAGAAUUCUUUAAGUGUCUGUUGUCGACACAGGUGAGCAGUCGUGGACUCUAUUCAACCCAUGGAAAUAUCUCCUGAGAAUACAAGUCACUGGUCCACUUCUGACCCUCUAGUGGCUAGGAUGCGCAGAUGGAAGCUGAGAUUCCCAGGGCUGUAAGUUCUUCUGCAGUGCAUUCCCUCUUCGCAUGGUGUGGUUUAGAGCGAUGGUUUUCAAAGUGGAAGAAUCCAAAAGAGAUCUGCUUCAUUUUUCGGUGGAGAAGCUCUAGAACAGUGUUGACCAAUAGAACUUCUGCUCUGACGGACACAUGCUGUAUCUGUGUUGUUCAAUACACAGGCACUAGCCACACGACCUUUGAAAGUAAAAUGAGGUCAUCUGAAUGGGCCCUAAUCCAACGUGACUGGUGUCCCUACAAGAAGAGGACAUUAGGACAUAGGCACACAGAGGGGAAGACCAUAUGGAAACACGUGGAGAAGAUGGCCAUCCACGAGACACGGAGAGAGGCCUCAGAAGAAACCAACCCUGCUGACAUCGUGCUCUUGGACUUCUAGCCUCCAGAGUUGUGAGAAAAUAAAUUUCUGUUGUUUAAACCACCCAAUGUGUGGCAUUUGUUACUGCUG